Molecule: ribosomal RNA, 255 nt
Filed under: uncultured bacterium
Lineage: Bacteria
Description: partial 16S ribosomal RNA
Rfam family: Bacterial small subunit ribosomal RNA
Source: RNAcentral
UACGUAGGGUGCAAGCGUUAAUCGGAAUUACUGGGCGUAAAGCGUGCGCAGGCGGCUAUGCAAGACAGAUGUGAAAUCCCCGGGCUACAACCCUGGGAACUGCAUUUGUGACUGCAUGGCUAGAGUACGGUAGAGGGGGAUGGAAUUCCGCGUGUAGCAGUGAAAUGCGUAGAUAUGCGGAGGAACACCGAUGGCGAAGGCAAUCCCCUGGACCUGUACUGACGCUCAUGCACGAAAGACGUGGGGAGCAAACGA